RNAcentral lists this ribosomal RNA (464 nucleotides) under uncultured bacterium. Its description in RNAcentral is "bacterial SSU rRNA". It matches the Rfam family "Bacterial small subunit ribosomal RNA", at positions 28 to 507 of the family's 1533-position model. The record is from RNAcentral.
GACGAACGCUGGCGGCGUGCUUUCCUUUUGCAAGUCGAACGAUGAAGUUCCUUCGGGAAUGGAUUAGUGGCGAACGGGUGAGGAACACGUGAGAAACCUGCCUUUCAUUCUGGAAUAACACCGGGAAACCGGUGCUAAUACCGGAUACUCCGUCUUGGCGGCUUCGCCGAGCCGGGAAAAAAUUUUGAUGAAAGAUGGUCUCGCGGCCUAUCACCUAGUUGGUGAGGUAAUGGCUCACCAAGGCAACAACGGGUAGCCGGCCUGAGAGGGCGACCGGCCACACUGGGACUGAAACACGGCCCAAACUCCUACGGGAGGCAGCAGUAGGGAAUAUUGGGCAAUGGGCGCAAGCCUGACCCAGCGACGCCGCGUGAGGGAUGAAGGUCUUCGGAUUGUAAACCUCUUUCAGUAGGGAAGAAGCGAAAGUGACGGUACCUAAAGAAAAACCACCGGCUAACUAUGUG